This is a ribosomal RNA of Ochotona princeps (American pika), 130 nucleotides long. NCBI's taxonomy places the organism in Eukaryota, Metazoa, Chordata, Mammalia, Lagomorpha, Ochotonidae. The record is from Ensembl.
GUCUACGGCCAUAACACCCUGAACAUGCCUGAUCUCAUCUGAUCUCAGAAGCUAAGCAGGGUUGGGCCUGGUUAGUACUUGGAUGGGAGAUUUAUUUAUUUUUGUUGGAAAGUCAGAUAUACAGGAGAGA